AACGAACGCUGGCGGCGCGUCUUAAGCAUGCAAGUCGAACGGCAAGAGAGAAGCUUGCUUCUCUCCUAGAGUGGCGGACUGGUGAGGAACACGUGGGUAAUCUACCCUUAAGAUGGGGAUAGCUGCUAGAAAUAGCAGGUAAUACCGAAUACACUCAGUUUUUCAUAAGAAGGAUUGAGGAAAGGAAGCUACGGCUUCGCUUGAGGAUGAGCUUGCGUCCCAUUAGCUUGUUGGUGAGGUAACGGCCCACCGAGGCGACGAUGGGUAUCCGGCCUGAGAGGGUGAUCGGACACAUUGGGACUGAGAUACGGCCCAAACUCCUACGGGAGGCAGCAGCUAAGAAUAUUCCGCAAUGGACGAAAGUCUGACGGAGCGACGCCGCGUGGAUGAAGAAGGCUGAAAAGUUGUAAAAUCCUUUUGUUGAUGAAGAAUAAGGGUGAGAGGGAAUGUUCAUCUGAUGACGGUAAUCAGCGAAUAAGCCCCG
Molecule: ribosomal RNA, 484 nt
Filed under: Treponema sp. oral taxon 228
Lineage: Bacteria; Pseudomonadati; Spirochaetota; Spirochaetia; Treponematales; Treponemataceae
Description: bacterial SSU rRNA
Rfam family: Bacterial small subunit ribosomal RNA
Source: RNAcentral